GGCAGGAUGGCCGAGCGGUUAAGGCGCUGCACUCAAGUUGCAGUAUCGAAAGGUGCGUGGGUUCGAGUCCCACUCCUGUCA
RNAcentral lists this transfer RNA (81 nucleotides) under Ophiostoma novo-ulmi subsp. novo-ulmi H327. RNAcentral describes it as "tRNA-Leu (CAA) (tRNA-Leu-CAA-1-1)". It matches the Rfam family "tRNA". From Rfam's summary of the family: Transfer RNA (tRNA) molecules are approximately 80 nucleotides in length. Their secondary structure includes four short double-helical elements and three loops (D, anti-codon, and T loops). The record is from RNAcentral. RNAcentral also lists the same sequence under 2 other names. Lineage: Eukaryota; Fungi; Ascomycota; Sordariomycetes; Ophiostomatales; Ophiostomataceae.